GUGUGUGUGUGUGUGUGUGUAAUCCUCCACUGAAUUUCAAUGCCCCAUUGAAAAUUUUUUUCUUCUAGUCUGUAUAAAAUUUAAUAAAUGAGACCACCAAAAAUUUGAUCUAGAAUAUAUCAAAAGUCUUAUAAUUAUUUAUUGAAAAAUUAACUUGAAAAUCUUCUAAUGAGAUUAUUAUAUUUAACAAUUAAUUAAUUAUACUGUAAGAG
RNAcentral lists this unclassified non-coding RNA (212 nucleotides) under Hevea brasiliensis (rubber tree). Lineage: Eukaryota; Viridiplantae; Streptophyta; Magnoliopsida; Malpighiales; Euphorbiaceae. The record is from RNAcentral.